Molecule: unclassified non-coding RNA, 384 nt
Filed under: uncultured bacterium
Lineage: Bacteria
Description: contains 16S-23S intergenic spacer region
Source: RNAcentral
UCCUGGUUUCCCAGGCAGUCCCAUCAGAGUGCUCUCUUACGAGAUAGCAACUGACAGCAGGGGUUGCGCUCGUUAUAGGACUUAACCCAACAUCUCACGACACGAGCUGACGACAGCCAUGCAGCACCUGUGUAUACGUCUCAGGUUUCCCUGAGAAGACCCCGUUUCUGGGGCUAGCAUAUACAUGUCAAACCUAGGUAAGGUUCCUCGCGUAGUGUCGAAUUAAACCACAUGUUCCACCGCUUGUGCGGACCCCCGUCAAUUCCUUUGAGUUUUAAUCUUGCGACCGUAGUCCCCAGGCGGAUCACUUAACGCGUUAGCUACGACACUAAUUCUGCAGAGCAGAACUAACGUCUAGUGAUCAUCGUUUACGGCGUGGACUAC